UACGAAGGGUGCAAGCGUUACUCGGAAUUACUGGGCGUAAAGCGUGCGUAGGUGGUUUGUUAAGUCUGUUGUGAAAGCCCCGGGCUCAACCUGGGAAUGGCAAUGGAUACUGGCAAGCUAGAGUGCGGUAGAGGGUAGUGGAAUUCCCGGUGUAGCGGUGAAAUGCGUAGAGAUCGGGAGGAACACCAGUGGCGAAGGCGGCUACCUGGACCAGCACUGACGCUGAGGUGCGAAAGCGUGGGUAGCAAACAGG
Molecule: ribosomal RNA, 253 nt
Filed under: uncultured bacterium
Lineage: Bacteria
Description: partial 16S ribosomal RNA
Rfam family: Bacterial small subunit ribosomal RNA
Source: RNAcentral